UGCGUUAUCCCCUACGCAACCACAGCUCGCCCCGAACUGUUAAUGUUUUACGUUAAUUUCUCAGAACCCAAACAGCUUCAUUUGUUUAGUGUUGCAGUUCACUUCUGUUUCUGAUUAUCUGUCUACUGUUGAAAUUCACACUUCAGAAUAAGGAAGAGCUGUUUCCAUAGUUACGACAGUGCAGCACACUAAUAAGCAUUAGUGUUCAUGAAAAUCAUUGACGAUUUGUUUUCCUUUCACUCUGAAGAUCAAGAUUCAACCUGUGGAAAUCAUCAUUAUGAUGAGCUGCAGUCCAACCUGACCUAUGCUACUGUCAACCUUCCUGAAACCUCUCCGAAGACAAAGGUCAAACGGGACACAGACACUGUGACUUAUUCUACUGUCAGGACUAAAGAGAAGACAGAGGUGGACUGAUGUCAGCGACUUCUGGAGCUACUUCACUGAACCCAAAACACCGAAUCCAAAACACCGAAUCCAAAACACCGAAUCCAAAACACCGAAUCCAAAAGACUGAAACCAAAACACCGAGCCCAACUGCAGUAUUUGACCACUACAUCACUGUUUCUAUUAUAAUUAUUAUUAAAAAAACAAAACUGGUAACAAUAAGGUUACAUUUGUUUUAUAUAAGGUCAGAUUUUAUAUAUAAAUUCAGUAUAACAAACUGACUGCAGCUCUUUAGCAUUAGCAUGCAUCACAGUUCCUCUUUGACUUUUUAUGCAAAGGAUGUUACAGGUUGUGCAAAAGGAGGAAACAAUACUUUAUAAAUUAUAAAAAUAAAAGUUAAUUAAUUGCCUCGUUUAUGUUCUUGACAAUCAGUAGCUGUAGCUAAAAGUUGGUUCAUCUUAGUUGAUCAAAAUGUUACAAAGUGAAGCAGUUAAAUGUAAUUUAAAUGUUAAUUUUUGACUAAAGUUUGUAAAGUUCCUUUUCUUUGUGGAACAUACAAGU
Gambusia affinis (western mosquitofish) is the source of this 945-nucleotide long non-coding RNA. RefSeq lists it as uncharacterized. Lineage: Eukaryota; Metazoa; Chordata; Actinopteri; Cyprinodontiformes; Poeciliidae. The record is from RefSeq and is a predicted model, not a curated record. The transcript has 3 exons.